Long non-coding RNA from Amphiprion ocellaris (clown anemonefish), 791 nucleotides. The record is from Ensembl. NCBI's taxonomy places the organism in Eukaryota, Metazoa, Chordata, Actinopteri, Pomacentridae.
CUACAGCAGAGGUGAGGCUUGACUUCAACAGCUCUGUGCCAUCCGCACAACUUCCAACUUCUGAUGACGUGGCACGAGUCUUGGUGGACGCUGUCUCCAAUCCCAACAGUACCCUCAAUGUCAGCAUUCUACCGGACUCCGUCCAAGUGACUGGAUCUAAAUUGACUGGAGCAACAACAGCAACUGCCAGAAUGACAGCAGCAGUCAAUGCAACAACAAGCGUUCCCUCCACUACCGAGGCUGCUCCACCGUCCGUGUAUCUGCGAGCAACACUGGAUGAAGUGUUUGUGCCAGAAUUCACAAAUAGAAGCAGUGAAGAAUUCAGGAGUCUUGAGGCCACAGUCAUACGAUUCUGCGACGGCAUCUACGUGACUCGAUUUGGCUCCCGCUUCAUCCGCACUGUCCUCAUAAGGUUUAGCCAAGCUCCAGGCAACGGCAGCACAAGCAAUACUACAGCAGAGGUGAGGCUUGACUUCAACAGUUCUGUGCCAUCCGCACAACUUCCAACUUCUGAUGACGUGGCACGAGUCUUGGUGGACGCUGUCUCCAAUCCCAACAGUACCCUCAAUGUCAGCAUUCUACCGGACUCUGUCCAAGUGACUGGAUCUAAAUUGACUGGAGCAACAACAGCAACUGCCAGAAUGACAGCAGCAGUCAAUGCAACAACAAGCGUUCCCUCCACUACCGAGGCUGCUCCACCGUCCGUGUAUCUGCGAGCAACACUGGAAAAAUUGUUUGUGCCAGAAUUCACAAAUAGAAGCAGUGAAGAAUUCAGGAGGCUUGAGGCCACA